UUUGUCAGUCAUCUGCGUUAUAUUUGGGUAUCUAAUGAAAUCCGUGAUUGAUAUCAUUCCAAGUUCAGUGCCAUCUCCUUUGUGAGUGGAUGCUUGUUUCAUUGUGCGAGAUAUUCUUGGAGAUCCUAGAUUAAUUCCUUAAGGAUCCUUUUUUAUGCGACUGUAUCUUCAGUGUAUCCUGCAAGAUAUUUGUUUAUUAGUUUGUCGUUAUUGAAACAUAUUAUGGGAGUAUGGGGCUAACAGGGUUGUCACAUACACUCCUUAUAUAUUUAGCAUCUUUGUUGAGUUUUUUCCCACUGCAUGGGAUUUGUCUAUAAUUAGAAUUGAGGUUUACUCCAACUUAUCGGGAUUUCUCUAAAUUCAGUUUAAACUCUAACCAACACCAACAAGGAUGACACAUGAGGGGCUCUGUUAUCAUUUGUAACGGCCUAACCUGCUAAUGAUAUUGUCCGCUCUAGACCUAAGCCUACACGACUUUAAAACACGUCACUAGGAUGUAAGGCCUUUUUACCUUUAUACCUAACUUAUCUCCUACGUUGUUGAUGUGAGAUUUCUUAUCCUAAGUUGGGGUGUCACAUUUCUUUUGAAUACAUGGUUCUAACAUUCUUUGUAUGAUAUACUUAUUGCUCUUGCUCGGUUGACUUAUGAGUACGUAUCCAUAUUUUUGUACUCAUACUACUUUUGCGACAUCUUCGCUGAAACAGAUCCUAGUAAUAGCAGCCCUCGUUGACCCUAAUCGUUCGAAGUUGUUUCUGAUUUGAAAUUAUGGUGAUCUCCUUGUGUUCAAAGUCAUGGUCCAACUUCAUGUGUGUUUCCUUUCUAUCUUUCCUAUUUCAUAGAAAUUUUGAUGUACUAGAGUUAUAUUCGGCAUCUAUAAGACCUUGUACCGAUGACGCUAAGUCUUGAGAUGGUUUCAUUUCUACAUUUCGUAAUUUUAAUUAUGAAAGGGUUGUAAGGCUUAUUAUCUUACUGCUUAUUUCUUCAACAUUUAUUUAUAAUGUUUUUUAUGCUGGUGAAAAGUUGGCUUACCUAUACCGUGGGUUAAACUAGAUUUCAUCAUAAACUUUGAUUUUGGGUCGUGACAUAUUUUAAGACUAGCUUCUUUUUAAGCACGUAGAUAUGAUAUAUUUUACUAUUGUGAUGCAUGCGGAUAUAUAACGUAUUCUGCUACAAAUAUAUUAUAUACAUAUGGCUACACUUAUUUACACACACAAAUAUAUUAUAUUUCAGUAUAACUAUGUGUUUGAAUACAAUUUGUUCCACUACAUUUUGAAAUUUAAAUGCUGCUACAUUCACAAUUAAGCAAAACCUCGCCAUGUAUAGUAUUUUGGGGUGAAACUACAGCUAUAUUAUAAUUUUUUCCUAUAUAUAAUAUAUGAGGAUUGAAUGUAGGUUCCACAGAGGCCAAGUCAACCCAAUACAACUUGGCACGUCCUGAAUUAUUUGCUUGUCAUUGACGUCUAUGUUUCAUGAUUAAUGAUUAAUGCACUCAAGUGGAGUAAUAAUUGAACACCUAGCUUCCUCCCCCAAAUUAUUACUAACAAACAACUACUAUAUUAUUUUAAUUAAGCAGAAUAAUUUGAAUUUGUUACCUAAUCAACACGAGACUAUGACCUCGAUUCUAUGUUGUUUCACAUAAUUCACAAGUAAUUGUAUCUUAAAUUAAUUUUAGAUUGCAAUAAUAUGUGUGUCCAAAAUCUUCUGGUGAAUUGCAUUUCAUGACUAACCAAAUUAAAAGUUUUCAAUCCACUUCUAGUUCUUGAAGUAUAGUAAUAUUUAUUAGUUGCCUCCACGGGUUUGUUGGUAUAUAUGUAGUGGCGGAUCUAUCUUCUUAUUUAUGUAGUGGCGGGUCUAUCUUCUUCUGAGCGAGUUGCAGAGCUAUUUUUUCUUUCUUUUAUUCUAUCUGUCUUGCUUGAUUGGUUAAAGCAUUUUUGAGUGCUGAUGGUACUCCUUUGGAUGGUUUAACGCGACUAGCAGAUUACGCAGUGUUCAAUCAAAUAAUUGACACUGAUUACGAUUUGAAUUGUCUUCCCGGCUCAAUGGAAAGAAAACCCCGUUCUACAAUUCAUCAAGACGAAACUCAUGUCUUUCCUCCAAAUACCAUUUUCUUUUCCUUAGCCGACGAACAAAACAACGAAUUCAACCGCAGAUACCUUUUAGCUAGCGCAUGCUAAAAAGAACAAGUAAAUACCCGUCUCAUGUUUGACUCUAUCUGUAAUGUUGAUUGUCCGUGAAAAAAUCUUCUCUGUGAAAAUUAUUUUUGUUCAUUUUCUUGCGUUUUGUUUAAUACAAAUUUAAAGAACAUGCAUGACAUUUAUUAAUGUUAGCGUUGAUUAAUGAGUGAGAUACAUAGAAUGUUCUGGUGGUCACUACUGGAAAUUACCCCUAUGGCAACGAACUUUUUGGCAACGGUUAACAAAGCGUUGCAAUAGGUGGUCUAUUGCAACACUUUCAAGCGUUGCCAAAAAUAAUUGUUCUAUUAGCUACAAUUUAACCCUAUAACUGUCGCUUUUGACAUUAAGCGUUGCAAUAGGUAAAUGAAAUAAGCUAUUGCAAUGCUUAUAAUUUUAUUCCCUCCAUUUCACUGCCAAUUUUAUUCAGUCCGCCAAAAAUAAAGUCUUUUUAUAAUACUAAAACAUUUCAACACUGCCUCUACGGACGAUCCAGUACUACUCAGUGCUUAAACAUUUCAACACAAACACAGCUACAAAAGAGUGAUUUCAACACUGGUGCCAGUGAUGAGCUGCGAUUGCGAUUAGGGGAAAAGAAGAAGAGGGGAAACAAUAUAGUUCUGAGGCACUUUGCAAUUAGGGCUAAUUUUGUUUCAGUGUUGGUUUUGGAUGAGUUGUAUCUGAAUAGAGCUGACAGUGUUGGUUAAAAAGAAUUAUCGUUUGUUGGUUUUUACUUCUGAUUCUUCCAAGGAAGCUACGGAAGGAAUUGCUUAUCAGUGGAGAUACAUGGUUGAAAAUGAGCCUGGAGACCCUGGAGUGGCACCUGGAUCAUGCUCCAGUCAUAAGGAAUCGAAACCACUUAAUUCCAGAAGUGCCUCUCUGUUUCUAAUGAAUUACUUUCCCACAAUUGCUGUACAAAACGGAGCCUGCAAAGAGCAUUCAACUCAACUUGUUGAUACUGCUGCUGCCGGUUACAAAGCAGCAGGCAACAUGAUGCCCAAUUAUGUGGCAGUAAACUUUUACAUGAAGUAAUGGAGGAGGAGUUUUUGAUGUUUUAGAUCAAAUGAACGGUCGGACACUGUGUGGUUGCCCUACGGUCACAGCAUGCCAGG
Molecule: long non-coding RNA, 3283 nt
Organism: Capsicum annuum
Lineage: Eukaryota; Viridiplantae; Streptophyta; Magnoliopsida; Solanales; Solanaceae
Exons: 4
Source: RefSeq, a predicted model, not a curated record